RNAcentral lists this ribosomal RNA (401 nucleotides) under uncultured bacterium. RNAcentral's name for it is "bacterial SSU rRNA". It matches the Rfam family "Bacterial small subunit ribosomal RNA", at positions 53 to 499 of the family's 1533-position model. The record is from RNAcentral.
ACAUGCAAGUCGAACGAAGUAGCAAUACUUAGUGGCAGACGGGUGAGUAACAUGUGGGUAUCUGCCCUUUGGCCUGGAAUAACACGAGGAAACUUGUGCUAAUACCGGAUAAGUCUUUACGGAGAAAGCUUUAUGCACCAUUGGAUGAGCCCGCACUUGAUUAGUUUGUUGGUGGGGUAAUGGCCUACCAAGACUGUGAUCAAUAGCUGAUUUGAGAGGAUGAUCAGCCACAUUGGGACUGAGACACGGCCCAAACUCCUACGGGAGGCAGCAGUGGGGAAUCUUGCACAAUGGAGGAAACUCUGAUGCAGCGAUGCCGCGUGAGUGAAGAAGGCCCUUGGGUUGUAAAGCUCUUUCGUCGGGGAAGAAAAUGACUGUACCCGAAUAAGAAGGUCCGGCUA